RNAcentral lists this microRNA precursor (95 nucleotides) under Chlorocebus sabaeus (green monkey). RNAcentral's name for it is "miRNA (ENSCSAG00000025682.1)". Lineage: Eukaryota; Metazoa; Chordata; Mammalia; Primates; Cercopithecidae. The record is from RNAcentral.
AACUUAACAUCAUACUACCUCUUUAUAUCAUAUUUUGUUAUUCUGGUCUCAGAAUGACAGUAUUCUGUGCCAGGGAAGGUAGUUCUUAACUAUAU